RNAcentral lists this long non-coding RNA (1302 nucleotides) under Carica papaya (papaya). Its description in RNAcentral is "long non-coding RNA (CPAP_LNC014360)". Lineage: Eukaryota; Viridiplantae; Streptophyta; Magnoliopsida; Brassicales; Caricaceae. The record is from RNAcentral.
CACCAUUUUAUGUGAUUUUUCAAACAUCUAAACGAACCUGUUCUAUUUGAACAACAUUUAUAAAAACAAUCUAUUUAAGCGAAAAAAUAAAUGCUUCUGAUACUUUCUAUUGAUGUCUUCCAAUCAUUUUCUCAGCCUAUUUGUUGGUCCAUUUUCUUUAAGUUAUUCUGAGAUCUAUAAUUAUUGAAUUGGAAGAAAAACAAAGUCCUUCAUCCACCAAUCGUUAGUCUUGAUGGCUCCAUUGUGCUUCUUGUUUAUCCGAUUGAGAACAUGAAAUGGGCAUUACUGGAACCCAUAUGAAAAAGGCAAGAAAUGAGUUUUUGAUUUCGUUUUUUUAUAAAAGCAUAAUAGGUUGUUCACUUGUGGUGGGUUGGCUUUUGGAUUAGGUGUAUGUUGAAAGAGUUGGAAAAGAAAGUGACUAUUAGAGAGAUAAUGGGAAUGAAUGAAUAAAGCACAUGAAAAAUAAGGUGAGCAAGGAUGAGAUUGAUUUUUUAUUAAAUUUAUUAUUAUAAGUAUUUACUAUAUAUUACUCAAUAUGGUGUAAUAAAUUCACUAUUUAAAAUAUUUUUAGAUGCGUGGCUGAGAGAGUUGUAGAGUGUGAUAAUAUCUUUUCUCUGAUCAGGUUCGAGGGGUCCGUGAGAGAUCACUUCGUUGGGAGAGAUGUUGCAUGCCAAAAGAGGAUGGAGAACUUGGCAUUUAAGGCUUUUUCUGGAUCUCAAUUCCCUGGACCCUAUAGUUUGUCCAUAUUCAACACUCUCCAAUUUCCUCUUUUCUGGAUCAUUCUAAUAAUUCCAAACCUUGGAAAAUCUUUCUCAAAAAAAUCUUAAUAAUCAGGAAGCUGUUGAUAUGAUGCUAUUAAAUCAGCUCCUCAAGGCUACUGUUUCUUUUUUAGAAACCCAACUGCAGAAUCUGGUGUUUGGAAUUAUUAGAAUUUAUUCUUGCAGGUAUUUUUUUUUUAAAAAAAAUAAAAGAGAAAUAUUAUUAUGCACAAAGGUACCAAGAGGGUACCACCCCAAAAUACAAAAUUAACAGUCGAUCAGGUAAUCCAUAACAGUCCCAACAUCUUCCCAAUCAGCUAUGUCAUGACAAAUUAAAAUAGACCCAAAAGUAUGAAAAGCACCCAUGUAAUUGUAGAGUAUCUAUAUAAUCUAAUAUAACUAGAUAAACGGCCUGCUUAAUAAUGAUAAAGCACUCAUGUAUUCAUAUUAUCUAUAUAUUCUAAUAUAACUAGAGUUGUUAAAAGGAAAACUAUAAUAAAAGAAGAAUUUUUUAUUUCAAAAAAAAUAUAAAAUAAGACUUUUG